CUAGUCCUUGUCUUUAUAUUUUUGUUUUAGCAGUUUUAGGUACAGCAUAUCUUUGUUUUGGAAACAAAUCAGCUCAAAUAUACUUUAGAAGUUGGAGUAUGAGUUUUCAUUUUAAAAGCUGUGUUGUUAACUUCAGUUUAAAUCAUGAGGCUUUUCCCCCCAUUGACCUACCUUGAAAUGGAAAUGGAGUUGUUCUAAUUAAAUAAAAACUUAGAGAGCACUAGCUACUAGGGAGGUGACUAGAGAGACUGAAUGGCUAGGAAGAGAGGGGUACACCAGAAGGCCACAGAGGACAGAGUAGACAUAAAGAAAGAAAAACAUACCACUUUUGCUUACAGUACUGAGGGAAAUACUAGACACAGAGGAACAGAAGCUGUAUAAACACGGACCUCGACAGAGCUGCCAGGAAAAAAGAGAAAAGCAUUUUUGUCCAAAGUUUCUAGGUCAGAUGUGAUUUACAGUUGGAGACAAGCAUUCCUUCACCACCUUCCCGAACUUUCAGAUCCAUCAUUUGUUCUUUUUAUUUCACUCCCAGAUUUAUGAUUUUCCCCAUUCUAUCAAGUCAUCUCUCCUGAGUACUUAAUUCCUGUCACCCCUCAAAUAGCCUAAACCAAUACUACCUCCACGAGGAAUCCUAUCUACGGCAAUUCAUUUUCUCCAAUAUAACUCGGUCAACCAUUUCUUUCUCUAGCUACAAUGGAGAGUUAAAAAUCAGGAUGGAAGAAGAUGGAAAAACCGAAAAGAAGCAAGAUGGGAAAUGCAAUUAGAAAAAACAGAUUCAUACAACACACUUCAUGAGUUUCCCCCAGCCUGAUCUCUGCUUUGGGGCACGAGGUGGUGUGCACGGGAGAGAGAACAGAUCAGCAACAUGGUGCUGAUGCAGUGAUUUCUGCAGCAAGAAAAGGGCCUCUUUCCUGUCCUUCUGGCAUUGGGAGCGAAAGGGACUUUCUGUCC
This 954-nucleotide long non-coding RNA is filed under the name Homo sapiens (human). RNAcentral describes it as "HSALNT0048008". The record is from RNAcentral. Lineage: Eukaryota; Metazoa; Chordata; Mammalia; Primates; Hominidae.